GUUCUGUAGGCGGUUUUGUAAGUAUAUGGUUAAAGGCUCCGGCUCAACCGGAGAGAUGCUGUAUAAACUACAAUGACUAGAGGGUUAUCGGGAGUAUCGGAAUUCUCGGUGGAGGGGUGAAAUCCGUUGAUAUCGAGAGGAACACCAAAGGCGAAGGCAGAUACUUAGGUAACAUCUGACGCUGAUAGACGACAGCUAGGGGAGCGAAAGGGAUUAGAGACCCCUGUAGUCCUAGCCGUAAACGAUGGACACUAGCUGGUGGGAUUUUCUCGCCGGCGUAAGCUAACGCGUUAAGUGUCCCGCCUGGGAAGUACGGCCGCAAGGCUAAAACUCAAAGGAAUUGACGGGGGAGCGCACAACCGGUGGAGCAUGUGGUUUAAUUCGAUACGAAGCGAAAGACCUCACCCAGGUUUGACAUACAACUGCAAAUCCUAGGAAACUAGGACUUCUUCGAGAGUGUUGUACAGCUGUUGCAUGGCUGUCGUAAGUUCGUGUCGUGAGGCGUCCAUUUAAGUAUGGUAACGAACGAAACCCCUAUGCUGUGUUAAAUCUUCACAGCAGACUGCUCUUGAUAGUAUCAAGGGAGGAAGGAGGGGAUGACGUCAAGUCAGCAUGA
Molecule: ribosomal RNA, 616 nt
Filed under: uncultured bacterium
Lineage: Bacteria
Description: bacterial SSU rRNA
Rfam family: Bacterial small subunit ribosomal RNA
Source: RNAcentral